GAUGAACGCUGGCGGCGUGCCUAAUACAUGCAAGUCGAGCGAACAGACGAGGAGCUUGCUCCUCUGACGUUAGCGGCGGACGGGUGAGUAACACGUGGAUAACCUACCUAUAAGACUGGGAUAACUUCGGGAAACCGGAGCUAAUACCGGAUAAUAUAUUGAACCGCAUGGUUCAAUAGUGAAAGACGGUUUUGCUGUCACUUAUAGAUGGAUCCGCGCCGCAUUAGCUAGUUGGUAAGGUAACGGCUUACCAAGGCGACGCUGCGUAGCCGACCUGAGAGGGUGAUCGGCCACACUGGAACUGAGACACGGUCCAGACUCCUACGGGAGGCAGCAGUAGGGUAUCUUCCGCAAUGGGCGAAAGCCUGACGGAGCAACGCCGCGUGAGUGAUGAAGGUCUUCGGAUCGUAAAACUCUGUUAUUAGGGAAGAACAAAUGUGUAAGUAACUAUGCACGUCUUGACGGUACCUAAUCAGAAAGCCACGGCUAACUACGUG
This 497-nucleotide ribosomal RNA is filed under the name uncultured bacterium. RNAcentral describes it as "partial 16S ribosomal RNA". It matches the Rfam family "Bacterial small subunit ribosomal RNA", at positions 28 to 507 of the family's 1533-position model. The record is from RNAcentral.